Molecule: long non-coding RNA, 464 nt
Organism: Rhododendron vialii
Lineage: Eukaryota; Viridiplantae; Streptophyta; Magnoliopsida; Ericales; Ericaceae
Exons: 2
Source: RefSeq, a predicted model, not a curated record
AGGUAUCGAACCAAAUCAUAUCCUGGGGAAGAUGAAGUAUUGGAAACGGGAUUUUUUCUACGUAACCGAAAUACUUCACCGUCCUGGAUUUGGGUGGGAUUCAAAUGAAAACAAAGUUGUGGCAGAAUAUGAAGUUUGGGAGGAAUUAAUCCGAGAUCGGCCACAAGUGAGACUUUAUCGGGACAGGCAAAUUCCCAAAUUCAAUCAAUUGGGCCUUAUUUUCGGUCGUCGGGAAAACUAGAUGGUCGAAGUUGAAGACAUGUGUUUGAAGAAUAAAUUUGUAGUUGUCAAAUAAAUGGAUUUGCCUUUUCAUGGCUUCCUAAUUUGUUUGAUGUAUGUGUGUGAGAGUGUAUUUCUAUUGUUCAUCUGUAUUGUAUCAUGUUUUGAAGUGAGGUGAAUUUUCGAACCAGCGAAUAUUUCAUCAUAGCCAUGCGUUACUUUUGAACCGAAUAAUCGAACCAAUA